Molecule: ribosomal RNA, 427 nt
Filed under: uncultured archaeon
Lineage: Archaea
Description: bacterial SSU rRNA
Rfam family: Archaeal small subunit ribosomal RNA
Source: RNAcentral
UACCUGCAGCUCAAGUGGUGGCCGUUAUUAUUGGGCCUAAAACGUCCGUAGCCGGUUUAUUAAAUGCCUGGGUAAAUCGGGCCGCUUAACGGUUCGAAUUCCGGGUAGACUGAUAGACUUGGGACCGGGAGAAGCUAGAGGUACUCCUGGGGUAGAGGUGAAAUUCUGUAAUCCUAGGGGGACCACCAGUGGCGAAGGCGUCUAGCUAGAACGGGUCUGACGGUGAGGGACGAAGCCCUGGGGCGCAAACCGGAUUAGAUACCCGGGUAGUCCAGGGUGUAAACGCUGCUUGCUUGAUGUUAGUCGGGCUCCGAGCCCGAUUAGUGUCGGAGAGAAGUUGUUAAGCAAGCUGCCUGGGAAGUACGGCCGCAAGACUGAACUUAAAGGAUUGGCGGGGGAGCACAGCAACGGGUGGAGCGUGCGGUUU